This 224-nucleotide long non-coding RNA is filed under the name Lathyrus oleraceus (garden pea). RNAcentral's name for it is "Pisum sativum (pea) long non-coding RNA (PSAT_LNC013291)". Lineage: Eukaryota; Viridiplantae; Streptophyta; Magnoliopsida; Fabales; Fabaceae. The record is from RNAcentral.
ACAUUUCUAUUCUAAUUACAUCCAAUUAUAAACCACAACCACAUAUGUGUCAACAUAAACAUUACAAAAAAGUAUCUGAAGUUACAAGAUUGCAUUCCAAGCAUUCCAAUCCAUAAGCGAAACCAAUGUCCAUUCAUAGCCUUGCAUUUCCAAGUAGUUCUUGCAUCAUGAACCAAUAACAAAACCGUACACUUGUAUAUGCCGAUCAUGAGCCAAACACACGG